RNAcentral lists this ribosomal RNA (460 nucleotides) under uncultured bacterium. RNAcentral's name for it is "partial 16S ribosomal RNA". It matches the Rfam family "Bacterial small subunit ribosomal RNA", at positions 338 to 795 of the family's 1533-position model. The record is from RNAcentral.
CCUACGGGUGGCAGCAGUGAGGAAUAUUGGUCAAUGGACGAGAGUCUGAACCAGCCAAGUCGCGUGAGGGAUGACUGCCCUAUGGGUUGAAAACUUCUUUUAUAAAGGAAUAAAACGAGGCACGUGUGCCUUUUUGCAUGUACUUUAUGAAUAAGGAUCGGCUAAAUCCGUGCCAGCAUCCGCGGUAAUACGGAGGGUCCGAGGAGUAUCCGGGUUUAAUGGGGUUAAAGGGAGCGUAGAUGGGUUGGUAAGUCAGUGGUUAAAGUUUGCGGCCCAAACGUAAAAUUGCAAUUGAUACUGGCAGUCUUGAGUACAGGUGAGGUAGGCGGAAUUCGUGGUGUAGCGGUGAAAUGCUUAGAUAUCACGAAGAACCCCGAUUGCGAAGGCAGCUUACUAACCUGUGACUGACAUUGAGGCUCGAAAGUGUGGGUAUCAAACAGGAUUAGAUACCCUUGUAGUC